UGUAAUGCAUGGAUAGACAUCUAGAACUGGUAUAAAAAAAGUAGCAAGAAUGUGUGCCCACAGCUUAAUAUUUUACUAUGAAAUUCCAUCUACACACUUUGUGUAUAUGUAAGUAAUUACUCAGCUAAGUCAAGUUUGAAUGCUCUAGCCAAUUCCUGCUAAAACAGAUUGCACCUCACUAUUGGAGGGGUGUUAGCAGAAUUUUGUUGCUUACCAUAUUAAUUUCUUCAAACAAAUGACUACUAACUCAUUUUUGCAGUCACAAAAAGCCUUCCAGAGGCUUAUAUACAUGCUACUUUCAACAGGCAAACUGAGGUGGAGAAAAACUUUGAAUAUAUGAAAGAAGACACUUCUAAGAGUGAUGAUGAACAUGACUUGAAAAUAGCAGGCCUUUCCUCAACACAUGGCAGAGCAAACAUGUUUUAGGGGAAACUACUGAUAGACGUGUUAGGUUGAAGAUGCAAGGUGUAUCACUUCACCUCCUUGGGACUGGAUGCAAAAGGGAAAUCCUCAGGAGUGCCCCAUGAGCCUACUGUGUGGCUAUAUGAUACCACCUUUGGGAUUUGGAUAUUUGGAAACAGCAAUGGCUGGAGGCCCUGAAUUGCUGAAUUAG
Molecule: long non-coding RNA, 613 nt
Filed under: Lonchura striata (white-rumped munia)
Lineage: Eukaryota; Metazoa; Chordata; Aves; Passeriformes; Estrildidae
Description: domestica (Bengalese finch) lncRNA (ENSLSDG00000006077.1)
Source: RNAcentral